CCUACGGGAGGCAGCAGUAAGGAAUAUUGGUCAAUGGACGAAAGUCUGAACCAGCCAUGCCGCGUGAAGGAUUAAGGCCCUCUGGGUUGUAAACGUUCUUUUAUCUGGGUACGAAAAAAGGGUAUUCUUACUCACUUGACGGUACCAGAGGAAUAAGCACCGGCUAACUCCGUGCCAGCAGCCGCGGUAAUACGGAGGGUGCAAGCGUUAUCCGGAUUUACUGGGUUUAAAGGGUGCGUAGGUGGGCUUGUAAGUCAGUGGUGAAAUCUCCGGGCUUAACCCCGGGAAACUGCCCAUUGAUACUAUAGGUCUUGAAUUAUCUGGAGGUAAGCGGAAUAUGUCAUGUAGCGGUGAAAUGCUUAGAUAUGACAUAGAACACCAAUUGCGAAGGCAGCUUACUACGGAUAUAUUGACACUGAGGCACGAAAGGCGUGGGGAAUCAAACAGGAUUAGAUACCCUGGUAGUCCAACGCCCUAAACGAUGGAAUACUACGACACUACAGACGAGUACACUGUUGGUUGUUCGUGAGACGAAAGACAUUAAGUUAAGUACCCUACCCUACGGAAGGUAACGUAAUACGACAAGAAUUAGUAAACGUAACUAAAUAAGAAGUUAGUACGGACGUCGAGACGUAGGACCGAACGGACGACGACGAGGGAGGAGGG
This 666-nucleotide ribosomal RNA is filed under the name uncultured bacterium. RNAcentral's name for it is "bacterial SSU rRNA". The stretch from base 1 to 559 matches the Rfam family "Bacterial small subunit ribosomal RNA", at positions 338 to 873 of the family's 1533-position model. The record is from RNAcentral.